CGGGGUGUAGGUCAUCGGUAGACCGCUCGUUUCGGGUACGAGAGGCAGUGGGUUCAAUUCCCACCUCCCCGACAA
Molecule: transfer RNA, 75 nt
Filed under: Candidatus Woesebacteria bacterium RIFOXYA1_FULL_43_9
Lineage: Bacteria; Candidatus Woeseibacteriota
Description: tRNA-Pro
Rfam family: tRNA
About the family: Transfer RNA (tRNA) molecules are approximately 80 nucleotides in length. Their secondary structure includes four short double-helical elements and three loops (D, anti-codon, and T loops).
Source: RNAcentral